AUGACAAACAGGGUUGGCCCUGUAGGUCAUAGGCUUCUAUCUCCAUGUCAAUCUACUUUUGUAAGAGGCCGGUUUAAUUUAGAAAGUGUGGUCACUGCCCAUGAGGCCAUUCGUGAAGUUCAUAAAUCAAAUGAGCAUGGGAUUGUUCUCAAAAUAGAUUAUGAAAAAGCUUAUGAUCGGGUGAACUGGGAUUUCCUAGUAGAGAUGCUAACUUCUAGGGGUUUUGGAGCUAAAUGGAUUAGGUGGAGCCUCUCCAUUUUGCAACAAAGCUCUUUCUGUGUCAAAAUUAAUGAUGUCCUAGGACCUUACUUUGUAGGGGGGAAAGGACUUAAGCAAGGAGAUCCGAGCUCCCCCAUGCUUUUCAAUUUGGUGGCUGAUGUGUUCUCUCGAAUGCUGGCCAAAGCUGUUAACAGCAACAUUAUCUCUGGGAUUGUUCCCCAUAUCAUCCCACAAGGACUUAUAUGUUUGCAGUAUGUUGAUGAUACAAUCCUCUUUCUUAAUCCUAAACCUGAAUAUGUUAAGAAUCUAAAAUGGCUCCUGGAAUGUUUCGAAAACCUUUCUGGGUUGAAGAUUAACUAUGCCAAAUGUGAGGUGGUGCCAGUUAAUAUGAAUGAAGAUGAUGCUAAGUUACUUUCCCAAAUCUUUUGCUGUAAGUUGGGGGAUUUCCCUCUGAAAUAUCUAGGAGUUCCACUACACUACCUCAAGCUGAGGAGAGAAGACAUUCAAUAUAUCAUAGACAAAAUUAUCAAGAGGAUCUGUGGCUGGAAAGGGAGACUACUUAGCUAUGAAGCGAAGUUAGUCCUCCUCAAAGCAUGCAUUGCCAGUGUUCCUAUGUAUCUAAUGUCUGUCAUCCAAUUCCCCAAAUGGGCGAUCAAGGCCAUCACUUCACAGAUGGCUCAUUUCUUUUGGGGGAACCUGGGAGAUGAACAUAAGUAUCAUCUUGCUAACUGGGGGCUAAUCUCUCAGAAAAAGGAUUUUGGUGGUUUGGGAGUGCCCAAUUUAAGGGAAUUUAACAUGGCUCUGCUAGCCUCUUGGGCAAAAUGGUACUUUAUGGACAGUGAUAAAAACUGGGUGAGGCUGGUUGAUCACAAAUAUAGAACUGACAAACCCAAUGUACUGUAG
Molecule: ribosomal RNA, 1122 nt
Filed under: Triticum aestivum (bread wheat)
Lineage: Eukaryota; Viridiplantae; Streptophyta; Magnoliopsida; Poales; Poaceae
Description: partial small subunit ribosomal RNA
Source: RNAcentral